AGUGAACGCUGGCGGCAGGCCUAACACAUGCAAGUCGAGCGGCAGCGGGUUCCCGCGAGGGGAUGCCGGCGAGCGGCGGACGGGUGAGGAACACAUCGGAAUCUGCCUGGUUGUGGGGGAUAACGUAGGGAAACUUACGCUAAUACCGCAUGAGACCCUGAGUCGACGGACUGGGGGUGAAAGUGAGGGACCUUCGGGCCUCACGCGACCAGAUGAGCCGAUGUCGGAUUAGCUAGUUGGCGGGGUAACGGCCCGCCAAGGCGACGAUCCGUAGCUGGUCUGAGAGGAUGAUCAGCCACACUGGGACUGAGACACGGCCCAGACUCCUACGGGAGGCAGCAGUGGGGGAAUCUUGGACAAUGGGCGCAAGCCUGAUCCAGCCAUGCC
RNAcentral lists this ribosomal RNA (387 nucleotides) under uncultured bacterium. RNAcentral's name for it is "bacterial SSU rRNA". It matches the Rfam family "Bacterial small subunit ribosomal RNA", at positions 30 to 398 of the family's 1533-position model. The record is from RNAcentral.